CGCUGGCCCUGCCUGGCCUCAGGGAAAGCUGUUUGUCGAGGUCACCUGGAAAGCCCAGGUGGCUUUUCCACGUGCAGUGGCAUUUCCUGUUCCUCUGGGACCCUACUCAACCUGGGGCCUGCCUCCCCGGGGAAGCCUCCCGACAGACCCCCCGGAGGCGGGAGCCGCAGCCAACGGACACCAGGGACACGGUCGCCACCGCCACUCAAAGGACGGGCGUGGUGGCAUUUUCAGCUUUCUGCCCUGGGCAGGAAGGGAACUCGGGUUUGAAACGAGGACACCUUCCUGCCCUCCGGCCCGGCCCGCCUCCCCAGUGAAAGGCCGAGGGAGCUAGCUCGGGGGAGCCGGCCGUGGCGUGGCCCAGGUUGAUUUAGAUUUGCGGGGAGACCGGGAUCUUGUAGGAAAUGAAGGAAAUUUCCCCAGGGAAAGGGGGAAGAGAAGAAAGAGGAGCUUAAGUGCCCAGAUAAUUAUAAAGCUUGGCAUGGUGAUUUAUGGCAGGCAGGCCGGCUCCUCUGGUCUCCACCGCCCCUCCCGUCUCAGCGCCCCCCACCGCCGCGCCCCCAGAGACCCGCUGAUGGGGGAGGCAGUGAAGCCAGCGGGCGCCGCCCAGCACCCAAGCUCUGCUUUGUGUCCUGGGGACAGAGCCCCUCUGUGUUCUGAGCCCUGACGUCUGCUGUCUGGGGACAGCCUCACGGAACCCUGAUGGGCUGCCAGCCGGGAGGCUGAGGCUCCCGCACUGACUUCACGGAGGAGCCUCAGCCAGAUGGGUCGGCCCGUUAGAACGGGGACAGUCAGGGCAGAGGCCCUGCUCAUUCUUGGUGCCGUGGGAGGGGGGCUCCGGGCCGUGGCUUUGGGCUGAAACAAGGAUCAGGGUGCGCUCUUCAGGGAAAUGACGCAGCGCACCGCGUUGACCAGGGUGCGAGAGAGGCCGUGGCUGGCCCCGGUGGGCUGCUUGGCCAAUGCGCCCUUUAGGGCCCGACUGUGGGCAGCCCGCACUAGGGGAUUUCCUCUGCUGUGACCACAACUGUCCGCUCCCACCCCCUGUAAUUCCCGGCGGAUGUCCCCUGGCUGCUGACCUGCAGGGUCAUCGUCGGCUCCCCUCCUUGCCACACACAGACUGUGCCCAAGUCUUGCCAGCUCUGCUUCUGCUCAGCGUGUCUGGGUCUCACCCAGAGAGGCGAGAUCGCCAUGCAGACUUCCGCCCUGCCUCCCGCCCUGGGGGGCUCCCGCCCAGCUCCAGGAGGAAGUCCAGUCUCCCCUUCCCGAGACGAGAGAGGCUCCCAGGAGCCUGUCAGCCCCCUCCGUGUUGGCAUCCUCCCACUUCUCUAGACGGUGGCCCAAGCAUCGCCUCCUCCUGGAGGCCCUCCUUGCUCCCCACCUGCCCCGUAUCAGUUCACGGCCCAGUCACAGUGUCUGCUCUGGAAGACUGAGCAACUCCGGAAAGACCGGCCAGCAUCACCAGCCUGGCCCAGGGCAGGCUCCUGGGGGAGUGUUUCAUGAAUGAAUGAAACAGGAUCCCGAGGCUGAAACAGAAGGGAGGGAAGGCCGUGAACCCUGUACUCAGGGUGGCGGCAUGAGCCACCUGGCUGGCCGUGUCACACGGCCAUGGCGCUCUGAGAGACAAGGGGACAGGUCUUAACUUUUUUACCUCCAGCAAUACGUUCUCUUUUAGGACUAAUCUGAGGGGACUGUGACCCCACCUCGUCAGGGACGGCAUGGCAGCAUCCGACAGGCCUGAGCCCUGAGCACCUGCGACCCACAGAGGGAGGACUCCAGAAGGUGACUCAUCCCAGAGUACCCACAAGGAGGCGGGACCCAUCAUGGUUUUUGGGAGACACUCCAGGACCACAGAACCCAGGACCCACACCUCUUCCUGCCUCCUCGUUCUGCAGGUGACCCUGAAACUCCGAUGACUCUGCCUCUCAGGUCAGUGCCGCAUUUUGAACCUUGAGAGUCAGGGCUCACCUCUUCCCCCCAGGUACCACCCUGGGCUGGGCACGUCGGAAGUGGGACUAACACACACACACACACACACACACACACACACACACACACACACACGGCUUGUGGAGGAUUGCACAGCCAGGCGCAUUCAGCUGGGUCUGCUCCGGCCUCAGCCCUGACCUGCGGCCAGCCUCCUCCUGUAGUCAAGGGACCAAGGUCUGCCAGGAGUCAGGGGCUUGCCCUGGUCUCUUGCCCCAGAGAGCUGAACUCAGGCCCAACUCUCUGGCUCUCUUCUGCACAGAAGUUCGGAGUGAAGCCCCUUCUGCCAGGAGCCGUCUGUCUGGGGGUCCAUGGUGGGAGGGUAUGGGCCAGCUGCUGGGGACGGUCCGAAGUGUCUGCGGAGUGGGCAGCACUCGGGCUCGGCAGGUGAGAAGGUCCUCGGCCGGCCGCUCCCUAGCCCAGCCACCUUGUGGCCCUGACAGGGGCCUGUGGUGCUCAGAGCCCCCAGCCCACCUGUGCUCCUCCUCUGAAAGCUGGCCCACAGGGCAGGCCAUAGGGCCGCCUUGGCUGAGUUGAGCCUCCUGGGGAGCCCAUGGGGCCAUGUGGGCCAGACGCCCCCCCCACCGUUGCCAUGGUCAGGGGCAGGCCUGCCUCCCAAGUCCAUGUGGAGAGGACCCCAGGCUGUUGCAUCUGGGCGCAGGACCUCUCUGCCAUCUGGGCCCCGUUUACAGGUCCAGCUUGCCCACAAGACUCUGCAGACGCUGCCCCCCCACCCCAGGGCUUUUGUGUCUGCACGGAGAAUGCACACCAGCCGGUGCCCGUGGCCGGGGGGAACAUGAGUGGGGAGAGGGGGAGGCCCCCAGAGGACACGAGACAGAGGGAAAGGGGGACCUGGGGGGGCAUAACAGAGGAAGGGGACGAACAGGCAGAGGCAGAGAGAAAGUGGGCAGGGCACGGGUAGAGAGAGGACACAGAGCAGAGCGUCGGAAGGUUUACUGCGGGUGGGGGGCUCGCUGGGGAAACAGGGCCUAAGGGUACAGCUGGUCCCAGAUGUCUGCAGGGCCUGCUGGGCUCUGCCCAAGACUGUCUAGUCUAGAUGCUUUCCUGGGCAUCCCUUGUGAAAUCCCCUGGUGUCCCACGGGCAGCUGUGGUAGCCUCUGGGGUCCCCGGGAAGCCCACGCCCCAGAGGUAUGUUCCUCUUGCCAGCUGGGGCACCAGAACGUGCACCUGGGUCCUGGGUCCCCAUGCCCUGAUGGACACGUGCAGGGGGCUACAGAGGUGGGUCCCCAGGAACAUGGGUGUAGGCAGGGCCAGCCACCUGGGAGGCCAGAAGGGCGACGGGCACCCAGGACAGCAGCUGACCCAGGCAUGUGGAGAGUGGCCCAGGUAGAGAAGGACAGGCCUGGGAGGGUGGGGACCCCAGGCCAGGACCGUGUUUCCCAGAGCGUGCAGCGGACGGAAAGCGUGCAGGUGAGUGCAUGCAGUAGGUGCUUAUUCUGGGCUCAUCCUGAGCCUGGGUAAUUCCCAAGAUGACCGCAGAGCCCACUCACUGCAGGGGCGAGAUCACGCUCAGGGCCAGAUGGGAGGCCCCAGCCCCAGCCCCGUGCGCACAGGCUCCUGCAGGCCCAGCACGACUGGCACUGGUCGGGGCUCAUCUUCGUCCUGUUCAGCCAGAAACAGAAGCUGGGGAUUGGGAAGAGCUCAACUCUGGCCUCACCUGUGGCCCCAGAGGGUCAGUGGGACGACGGAGCUGCCUUUUAGGAUGCUGGGCUGGGAGGUGCUGAAGGUUUUCGGGGGACGGUGACUCGGUUGGUAGGAUUUGCUUUUGAACGGAUUCCGUAUUGUUCAUCUUGAAGUCUGCCCAGACCUGGCCCAGGACGGGGAGAAGUCUGGGCACGGGAGGCUCCCUCCUGACCCUGGCCCCUUCCCCUGUGCUGAGCCCCUCCCCCACGCCCAGUACAGGCAGGAGCCACGCUCCACUGCUCGGCACCUGGUGGUGGCUUGUUCCCUGAAGGAACCCUGGGUUCCUGUGGACGGACGGGCUGCCCUGUUCUUCAGAAGUGGGUGCGCACAGGCCUGAUGCCCCACGGCAGAGCCACAGACGAGCCACGUCCGCCUGCCCCCAGGCUGACCCGUGUCUGCUGCCUGCAGUCCAGGAGGGGCCGAAAUGUAUUUUGAUGCUCAAUGUCCAGAUAGCGUUUGUUUACCCAGGUAGGAAGUAAGGCCUUACAAAGACCUCACGUUUGAUCUUCUGGUCCCAGUGAAAAUAUUGACAGAAGGCAGAACGGUGGGCUUCACUCCGCGCUCACCUCUCGGUUCCGAGCGGCGCUCUGGCUAGGGGGUGACUAACCCGGGACCGCGAGGAGAGAUGUGACAGCAAACAGAGGACGGGUUCCCACGAGAGCCUGCUUUGCGAGCUGCAUGGGACAAAAGCCACUCCCGAUGCGGGUCCUGUCACUGUGCCAGGCCCUGAGCCGGACGCCCCUCCCAUAGGAGCUGUCCCUGUUGCUGGGUGGGUGCCCCUUGCGGGGGCAGAGGCUCGGGGAGGUUAACCCUAACCCCGCCAGCCCCCAGCAACAUUUCUGGGUUUCCCGGGAGUGUGUGGCUGUGCUGAGGCAUCAGGCCGCGGGUUAUGAAGGGGCGGCCUCCCUGGAGGUCAGGCAGGAGGCUGGGGACCGGGUCUCUAGCUCAGGCUCUCCAUGCCCUGGGGCCCAGGGUGGGCUAGAGGGUUCUUCCCACUGAAGCAAAAGCAAGCAGCUCCCAGACCCACUGCGGCUGGGAGGGCCCAGGGCUGCUGUCCGUGCUCACAGGUCAGGGCUCGGUGGGACACUUGGCCUCAGACAGCUCCCUGCUUGGAGGCCUUGCUCCCCAGUAGUUAAUGGAGCUGGCAGACCAGCGGGCCAGCUCUGGGUAGGAACACACAGGCUCCCACUCUGCGGAGCAGCCCUGAGCUCCUGGCCCCAGCUUGCCUGGGACUGAGCAGCUCUUCUCCCAAGAGCACUGCACACACUGAGCCUGGCCAGCCUCAGAAGACUGGGGAGCCCGAACACCCCUGCGGUCACCUGCAGGGAGAGAAAGUGAAUGUCUCAGACGUGGGGCUGCCUGGGGUCGCCUGGUG
Long non-coding RNA from Mustela lutreola (European mink), 5062 nucleotides. RefSeq lists it as uncharacterized. The record is from RefSeq and is a predicted model, not a curated record. The transcript has 3 exons. Lineage: Eukaryota; Metazoa; Chordata; Mammalia; Carnivora; Mustelidae.